ACUACCAGGAUUCCUAGUAACGGCGAGUGAACGGGGAUUAGCCCAGCAUCGAAGCCUAUGCCUGUUUGGGUGUAAGGCAAUGUGAUGUUAUGGGGUGUACCUAGGGUCACUGGUCAACUCGAAGUCCAAUAUUGAAUGUGGCUUUUGUAUUUGGCCCAGAGCGGGUGAAAGGCCCGUGCGAGUUGACUGUUAGACAAGUCUAGUGGCCUCUAGAUGUACACUCUAUGGAGUCGGAUUGCUUGAGAAUGCAGUCCAAAGUUGGUGGUAAACUCCAUCAAAGGCUAAAUACUGGCACGAGUCCGAUAGCAAACAAGUACCGUGAGGGAAAGUUGAAAAGUACUCUGAAGAGAGAGUAAAUAGUACGUGAAACCACUUACAGGUAAACUGGUGGAGUCCAGCUGCGU
RNAcentral lists this ribosomal RNA (404 nucleotides) under Dendromonocotyle bradsmithi. Its description in RNAcentral is "eukaryotic LSU rRNA". It matches the Rfam family "Eukaryotic large subunit ribosomal RNA", at positions 64 to 439 of the family's 3401-position model. Lineage: Eukaryota; Metazoa; Platyhelminthes; Monogenea; Monocotylidea; Monocotylidae. The record is from RNAcentral.